GACAAAGUGUCCAUUGCAGAAAAAGGAAACGAAGAAGUGCUUGGGAGCUCAUUAUAUGCCUCUAGCUGUCAAUAUGAUGACUAACAUCAAAUUGCAGAUUAACAAAACAAAGCAUUUCGCCUGCCUUCCUGGUUGGAGAGACUUCUUUAGUAGUCCACAUCGGCGAUGCCUCCUGGUGUUAUCUAAAAAAAGUGUGUUUGUCAAGUCCAACAUAUAUGGAAUAUCUUGGUCUCAUCUUAUUGACAGAUGAGCUCUUGCUAAAUUUUCUGACAAAAUUGAGCAAUGGUCUUGAUAGAUGUGCAUCGUCUACGUAACAGUAGAGCUAAUAAUAAUAAACCAGUCCUGCUGAGAAAAUUAUCAAGAUCCACUUCUUUUUGUUUAAUUCCUCUGCACAAAAUUUGUAUUCAACAUGUUCAUGGAUCUCCAGGCAACAUCAACUAUGCUGUGAGUAUCAUGCUUAAAUCAGAUAUCCACCAAUUCCUAUAUAGACGCAGUAUCAACUUUCUCACAGAUUUAAUAUAGACUUCUAGAUAUUUUACUUAGUAUCUGCAGUAUGAUGUGAUGAGUUUCAAUAAAUUAUAUAAUCAGAGGAAGAUUUGGCACAAAAAGGAUAUAGCUUCAGCUUCAGGUAGGUUUGGGGCAUCAAACACCAUGGAGACAUGCUGCUCCCUUCUGACUUUCCUAAACAUCA
This 691-nucleotide long non-coding RNA is filed under the name Eucalyptus grandis. RNAcentral's name for it is "long non-coding RNA (EGRA_LNC000550)". The record is from RNAcentral. Lineage: Eukaryota; Viridiplantae; Streptophyta; Magnoliopsida; Myrtales; Myrtaceae.